UACAGGGGGUGCAAACGUUGCUCGGAAUCAUUGGGCGUAAAGCGCACGUAGGCGGUUCGUUAUGUCGGAUGUGAAAGCCCUUGGCUUAACCGAGGAAGUGCAUCCGAAACUGGCGAGCUAGAGUACUAAAGAGGAUCGCGGAAUUCCCGGUGUAGAGGUGAAAUUCGUAGAUAUCGGGAGGAACACCGGUGGCGAAGGCGGCGAUCUGGGUAGAUACUGGCGCUGAGGUGCGAAAGCGUGGGGAGCAAACAGG
RNAcentral lists this ribosomal RNA (253 nucleotides) under uncultured bacterium. RNAcentral describes it as "partial 16S ribosomal RNA". It matches the Rfam family "Bacterial small subunit ribosomal RNA", at positions 524 to 776 of the family's 1533-position model. The record is from RNAcentral.